GACGAACGCUGGCGGCGUGCUUAACACAUGCAAGUCGAACGAUGAAGCUGGAGCUUGCUCCGGUGGAUUAGUGGCGAACGGGUGAGUAACACGUGAGCAAUCUGCCCUUGACUCUAGGAUAACUGCGGGAAACUGUAGCUAAUACCGGAUACGAGAUUUGGAGGCAUCUCCGGAUCUGGAAAGAAUUUCGGUCAAGGAUGAGCUGGCGGCCUAUCAGCUUGUUGGGUAGGUAAUGGCUCACAAAGGCGACGACGGGUAGCCGGCCUGAGAGGGUGACCGGCCACACUGGGACUGAGACACGGCCCAGACUCCUACGGGAGGCAGCAGUGGGGAAUAUUGCACAAUGGGCGAAAGCCUGAUGCAGCAACGCCGCGUGAGGGAUGAAGGCCUUCGGGUUGUAAACCUCUUUUAGUAGGGAAGAAGCGAAAGUGACGAUACCUACAGAAAAAGCACCGGCUAACUACGUGCCAGCAGCCGCAGUAA
Molecule: ribosomal RNA, 483 nt
Filed under: uncultured bacterium
Lineage: Bacteria
Description: partial 16S ribosomal RNA
Rfam family: Bacterial small subunit ribosomal RNA
Source: RNAcentral